GCGAUGAGCUAAAUUGCAUAAGAUGAGAUUGACAUGCUUUUUGAGCAAUGCACAAAUGUGGAGUGCAGUCUCUCGCCGCAAUACGCACAAGACGUCCAAAUUAGGACGUC
RNAcentral lists this small RNA (110 nucleotides) under Halalkalibacter akibai JCM 9157. RNAcentral's name for it is "Bacillus akibai JCM 9157 BsrF". It matches the Rfam family "BsrF". Lineage: Bacteria; Bacillati; Bacillota; Bacilli; Caryophanales; Bacillaceae. The record is from Rfam by way of RNAcentral.